UUCCCUCAGGAUAGCUGGAGC
Molecule: small nuclear RNA, 21 nt
Filed under: Arabidopsis thaliana (thale cress)
Lineage: Eukaryota; Viridiplantae; Streptophyta; Magnoliopsida; Brassicales; Brassicaceae
Description: snRNA_13072
Source: RNAcentral